GAUGAACGCUAGCUACAGGCUUAACACAUGCAAGUCGAGGGGAAACGAUAUUGGAAGCUUGCUUCCGAUAGGCGUCGACCGGCGCACGGGUGAGUAACGCGUAUCCAACCUGCCCAUCACUUGGGGAUAACCUUGCGAAAGUAAGACUAAUACCCAAUGAUAUCUCUAGAAGACAUCUGAAAGAGAUUAAAGAUUUAUCGGUGAUGGAUGGGGAUGCGUCUGAUUAGCUUGUUGGCGGGGUAACGGCCCACCAAGGCGACGAUCAGUAGGGUUCUGAGAGGAAGGUCCCCCACAUUGGAACUGAGACACGGUCCAAACUCCUACGGGAGGCAGCAGUGAGGAAUAUUGGUCAAUGGGCGAGAGCCUGAACCAGCCAAGUAGCGUGCAGGAUGACGGCCCUAUGGGUUGUAAACUGCUUUUAUAAGGGAAUAAAGUGAGUCUCGUGAGACUUUUUGCAUGUACCUUAUGAAUAAGGACCGGCUAAUUCCGUGCCAGCAGCCGCGGUAA
RNAcentral lists this ribosomal RNA (507 nucleotides) under uncultured bacterium. RNAcentral describes it as "bacterial SSU rRNA". It matches the Rfam family "Bacterial small subunit ribosomal RNA", at positions 28 to 523 of the family's 1533-position model. The record is from RNAcentral.